UAUCACUCUCCCCUGCAGCUUAUUGCAUCUCCUCCUCGGUGUGUCAGGUUGUCAGGCAAGUCGGUCUCCUGCAGCACAGGCUGUCGUUAAGACCGUCGCGCUCUUGCCCCCUUCAUCCCGAGGUCACCUUCUGCCAUGGAGCGGACCCCGCUGUGUCUGUGUGUCGCGGUCGCCCUGCUGAUUACUGGUGAGUACUGAAGUUAAAAUCACAGUGGUUGUUCUUUGAACUUCUCUGUAGCAAUAAGCCAUCCUCUCCUCUGCGGGCGCUCAGGCUCGCAAGGUUGCAAGUUGUGGCAAUCGGACUUAACGGGUCAAUGACCAUCUGAGUGCGUGUGCUAUUUUGGUGUACAUGUUUCGUGCGAACUUCCCAGGGUCGACUGGGACAGUCUGUUACACUGCUGUGGAAUCGCUGGACUUAAGAUGCCUCCUGCGGUGGGAUUGUCCCCGUGCCAGUCCUAAUACCACCUACACCGUGCAGACAAAGACUCAGGGGGACCCCUGGCAGGACGUACCGUGGUGCGUUUGGAUCUCGUCCUGCAGCUGCGAUGUCUCGCAGGCCUUCUCAAACUUUGAACUGUACAACAUGAUUCGUCUGGGUGUCCACCUCAGCCCCAGCUCCACUGUCUGGAUGAAGCCACGCAAGUUCGACUACAGUGACUUCACCUUCAGCCCUCCCUCUGUCUCGGCCUCUUUGAAAGACGAACAGCUGCUGGUGAAGGUGCAGUUCCCCUGUGCUGCCAACAGGAGGUGCUCUCUGGGGCGGUGCUGUCCCAUCUCUGAAUUGAUUGACCCCUGGACCACAGUGACUGUGUACAACAAGCUCAAUCACUCCGAGUACCAGAGCCGUACAGUUUGGACCCAGCAAGUUGUGUCCCAUGUGGAGUUCUCAGGUUUGUCUCCAGGUCAGAACUACUGUGCUGUGGCCAACUUCUCCUUCCCGACCUUCUCCAUGGCGGCUUCCCCGAAGUCUGCCCCUCAGUGUGUGGAGACCGUUUCCAAAUCAGGGCGGCUGCUGCCUGCGCUGUUUCUGGGAAUCGGGCUGACUUCUCUGUUCAUAGUUCCACUUCUCACCGUGUUUCUGAGAAGACCCAGACGAGCUGAACCAACCACUGAAAAUCAACCAAAGACUCCGGCGUCCAUUCAUGAUCCAGUCUCUUCGGUCCCCCUCCCCCCGGUCCCUGUCGACCCUCGUGACAUCCACCUGGAGUUUGUGAGUCUUGCAGCCAGCGCUGGACAAAGGUUUGGCUGAACCCAUCAUACAUCACUAAAGGGAAAGAAACGCUCUGGGUUGUUUGCAUUUCUUUAAGUCUUGGACGGCGCUGAGCCCAGGAUGCAGCGACGGCGCCCUGUCGACAUGCCCCUGCAAACAUAGUGUCAUCAGAUCGGAAGGAGAGGAGACAUCCGUCUGAAGAAGGUGGCCAAUGACUUAUACGUACAGUCUAAGACUAGGAAUUCAAUUCUCCAUCGAGGACCUCGACACACACCAGUGAUCCUCUCCGUCCCGACCCCGGAUCAGGUGCGGCUGCGUGCUGGGACAGCGAGAUGGAACCGGAGCGAGGCCUGGACCGUGGUAUCAGCAUCCCAGCUGUGUCUGACUCUUCUUAGAAGACAUGUGGCAAAAAUGGAGACUGAAAGACGACUGCUACUGUGUCAUCUUUGACCUCUGACAUUAAUUUAUCGUGGACCUUGAAUGGAGUCCGUUGCUCUGAAGGUGAAAGGUCACGACCCUAUAUUGAAUGUAUUGUUGAAAGUAACAUGUAAUUCUGUCAUCAAGUGAUAGAAAUGUGGCUCCCCAUUUUAACCAUACGAGCACAUUCCUCUCGUAGGAUAUGAGUCAGAGUGAGAGGGUCAGAGACUCGACUGGUGAGUGAGAGCCACCAAUGAAGCAGAAAUGGUUUAUCGGACAAGUCCAAAAAGAGCUGUUUUCCUGUGUAUGUACCACUGAUUCAGUGAAAAAUCUAAAUCGGGUUGCGGUUCUUCCCCCUCCAGUGACACUAAACAGGCCGGUCCAAACCAUAAGCUUCAUAAACAAGAACGUCCGACUCCCCAUAUACGGCCAACGGCUCCUCAAAAGUGAUAACGGGGGCUGGUUUUCUCCGAUCAUUCGUUGCUCUUUCUGACUCACAGUUGCCCCAUCGGAGCUUCGCCUCCUCUUACCCGUGACUGACACCUCAUCCUGCCUCCUGCGUGAAAACAAGGAACAUCUUGACAGCUCGCUCUUCUGCCUUCUGUUUUGCUGGUGUUGCAUUCUUUCCGCAACAUUGGGGAACAUUUUGGGGGGGGUUUGGCCGUCCAGCAUUGUUUGUUUCCCCUUCUACUUUUUCCAGAGUCCACAGAGACCUGGGGGGUUAUCCAAAGCUCAACCUACAAGCCAGUGUGUAUGGCUUUUAUUAAUAAGCAUAGUGCGUAUUAUGCUUGUGGGAGGGAUGGUUGAUGUAUGAAGCAAGGAGCUGGCUUGUGUGACGGAGCACCUGACAACACAACAGUCACGCUGGACCUUUUGUUUAUUCCCUUUUCUGCUGUUUGCAGUAAUUCUUCUGAAAGUAUCCGCUGGGGUGUCGUGUUGCUGAUCAUGUGGUUGUGUAUUGUGGCAUGCACAUGUGGAGUGAACUGCAGCAAAUCAUGUACAAGUGUAUCAAGGUUAUAUUGAAACUGUGGUUGGAAUACUUUAAUUGAAUAUAAAUUGUGUUUUUGAACAUGUUGGCCAUUUCUUUGAGUUUAUAGAUCAUUUGAAGUCAUUAUGUAGAAUUUAAUUAUCUU
This 2760-nucleotide long non-coding RNA is filed under the name Cottoperca gobio. RNAcentral describes it as "lncRNA (ENSCGOG00000013638.1)". The record is from RNAcentral. Lineage: Eukaryota; Metazoa; Chordata; Actinopteri; Perciformes; Bovichtidae.